GCCACCUUAGCUCAGUUGGUAGAGCAGUCGAUUCGUAAUCGACAGGUCUGCGGUUCAAGUCCGCAAGGUGGCUCCA
RNAcentral lists this transfer RNA (76 nucleotides) under Acidobacteriota bacterium. RNAcentral describes it as "Acidobacteria bacterium (rhizosphere metagenome) tRNA-Thr". It matches the Rfam family "tRNA". Rfam says of the family: Transfer RNA (tRNA) molecules are approximately 80 nucleotides in length. Their secondary structure includes four short double-helical elements and three loops (D, anti-codon, and T loops). Lineage: Bacteria; Pseudomonadati; Acidobacteriota. The record is from RNAcentral. RNAcentral also lists the same sequence under 2 other names.